ACGGUAAAAUUCAAUCUCCUCUUUUUUACUCCAGCUAAAGUUGUUAGUUAGCAAGGCGAGUAGGAGCGCAAUCUGCAGGAUACUAAUGGCAAUAACAUUUAUAAAAAAAAAAUUAAAAAAAUCGGCUAUAAUCGGCCGAUUAAAUCGGCAGGCCGAUAAAUCGGUCGGGCCCUAGUUUGUAUCAAA
This is a long non-coding RNA of Gadus macrocephalus (Pacific cod), 186 nucleotides long. RefSeq lists it as uncharacterized. The transcript has 2 exons. Lineage: Eukaryota; Metazoa; Chordata; Actinopteri; Gadiformes; Gadidae. The record is from RefSeq and is a predicted model, not a curated record.